AUUGAACGCUGGCGGCAGGCCUAACACAUGCAAGUCGAGCGGAUGAAGGGAGCUUGCUCCUGGAUUCAGCGGCGGACGGGAGAGUAAUGCCUAGGAAUCUGCUUGGUAGUGGGGGAUAACGUCCGGAAACGGGCGCUAAUACCGCAUACGUCCUGAGGGAGAAAGUGGGGGAUCUUCGGACAUCACGCUAUCAGAUGAGCCUAGGUCGGAUUAGCUAGUUGGUGGGGUAAAGGCCUACCAAGGCGACGAUCCGUAACUGGUCUGUGAGGAUGAUCAGUCACACUGGAACUGAGACACGGUCCAGACUCCUACGGUAGGCAGCAGUGGGGAAUAUUAGACGAUGGGCGAAAGCCUUGUCCAGCCAUGCCGCGUGUGUGAAGAAGGUCUUCGGAUUGUAGAGCACUUUUAGUUGGGAGGAAGGGCAGUAAGUUAAUACCUUGCUGUUUUGACGUUACCAACAGAAUAAGCACCGGCUAACUUCGUG
Molecule: ribosomal RNA, 484 nt
Filed under: uncultured bacterium
Lineage: Bacteria
Description: partial 16S ribosomal RNA
Rfam family: Bacterial small subunit ribosomal RNA
Source: RNAcentral